CCAAUAGCGUAUAUUAAAGUUGCUGCAGUUAAAAAGCUCGUAGUUGAAUUUCGGGACCAUCAUGUCGGUCGUGCCUCGGUACGUACUGGCAUUGUUGGUUUCUCCCUUCUGACGAACCAUGAUGUCAUUUAUUUGGUGUUGUGGGGAAUCAGGACUGUUACUUUGAAAAAAUUAGAGUGUUUAAAGCAGGCUCACGCUUGAAUACAUUAGCAUGGAAUAAUGAAAUAGGACGUUUGAUUCUAUUUUGUUGGUUUCUAGGAUCGACGUAAUGAUUAAUAGGGAUAGUUGGGGGCAUUAGUAUUAAAUUGUCAGAGGUGAAAUUCUUGGAUUUAUUGAAGACUAACUACUGCGAAAGCAUUUGCCAAGGAUGUUUUCAUUAAUCAAGAACGAAAGUUAGGGGAUCGAAGACGAUCAGAUACCGUCGUAGUCUUAACCAUAAACUAUGCCGACUAGGGAUCGGAUGAUGUUAAUUUUAUAAUGACUCAUUCGGCGCCUUACG
This 499-nucleotide ribosomal RNA is filed under the name uncultured Glomeromycotina. RNAcentral describes it as "partial small subunit ribosomal RNA". It matches the Rfam family "Eukaryotic small subunit ribosomal RNA", at positions 591 to 1092 of the family's 1831-position model. The record is from RNAcentral. Lineage: Eukaryota; Fungi; Glomeromycota.